Molecule: ribosomal RNA, 383 nt
Filed under: uncultured bacterium
Lineage: Bacteria
Description: bacterial SSU rRNA
Rfam family: Bacterial small subunit ribosomal RNA
Source: RNAcentral
GACGAACGCUGGCGGCGUGCCUAACACAUGCAAGUCACGGGGGUCCAGUAGCAAUACUGGAUAACCGGCGAACGGGUGCGGAACACGUGAGCAAUCUGCCGAUUUCUGGGGGAUAGCCGGCCCAACGGCCGGGUAAUACCGCGUACUCUCAUUGGGGGACAUCCCCUGGUGAGCAAACCUUCGGGGGAAAUCGAGGAGCUCGCGUCCUAUCAGCUUGUUGGCGGGGUAACGGCCCACCAAGGCUANGACGGGUAGCUGGUCUGAGAGGAUGGCCAGCCACAUUGGGACUGCGACACGGCCCAGACUCCUACGGGAGGCAGCAGGUGGGGAAUAUUGCGCAAUGGACGAAAGUCUGACGCAGCGACGCCGCGUGUGGGAUGAAG